Molecule: ribosomal RNA, 500 nt
Filed under: uncultured Glomeromycotina
Lineage: Eukaryota; Fungi; Glomeromycota
Description: partial small subunit ribosomal RNA
Rfam family: Eukaryotic small subunit ribosomal RNA
Source: RNAcentral
CCAAUAGCGUAUAUUAAAGUUGUUGCAGUUAAAAAGCUCGUAGUUGAACUUCGGGAUCAAUGGAUUGGUCAUGCCGAUGGUGUGUACUGGUCAUAUUGGUUCUCACCUUCUAAGGAACCAUAAUGUCAUUUAUUUGAUGUUGUGGGGAAUUAGGACUGUUACCUUGAAAAAAUUAGAGUGUUUAAAGCAGGCUAACGCUUGAAUACAUUAGCAUGGAAUAAUGAAAUAGGACAUCGCAUUCUAUUUUGUUGGUUUCUAGGAUCGAUGUAAUGAUUAAUAGGGAUAGUUGGGGGCAUUAGUAUUCAAUUGUCAGAGGUGAAAUUCUUGGAUUUAUUGAAGACUAACUACUGCGAAAGCAUUUGCCAAGGAUGUUUUCAUUAAUCAAGGACGAAAGUUAGGGGAUCGAAGACGAUCAGAUACCGUCGUAGUCUUAACCAUAAACUAUGCCGACUAGGGAUCGGAUGAUGUUGAUUUUUUAAUGACUCAUUCGGCACCUUACG